GAUGAACGCUGGCGGCGUGCCUAAUACAUGCAAGCCGAGCGAACAGACGAGGAGCUUGCUCCUUUGACGUUAGCGGCGGACGGGUGAGUAACACGUGGAUAACCUACCUAUAAGACUGGGAUAACUUCGGGAAACCGGAGCUAAUACCGGAUAACAUGUUGAACCGCAUGGUUCAACAGUGAAAGACGGUCUUGCUGUCACUUAUAGAUGGAUCCGCGCCGCAUUAGCUAGUUGGUAAGGUAACGGCUUACCAAGGCAACGAUGCGUAGCCGACCUGAGAGGGUGAUCGGCCACACUGGAACUGAGACACGGUCCAGACUCCUACGGGAGGCAGCAGUAGGGAAUCUUCCGCAAUGGGCGAAAGCCUGACGGAGCAACGCCGCGUGAGUGAAGAAGGUCUUCGGAUCGUAAAACUCUGUUAUUAGGGAAGAACAAAUGUGUAAGUAACUAUGCACGUCUUGACGGUACCUAAUCAGAAAGCCACGGCUAACUACGUG
RNAcentral lists this ribosomal RNA (497 nucleotides) under uncultured bacterium. RNAcentral describes it as "partial 16S ribosomal RNA". It matches the Rfam family "Bacterial small subunit ribosomal RNA", at positions 28 to 507 of the family's 1533-position model. The record is from RNAcentral.